CCGGCACUUCGCUCUGUGAAGUACCAUUAGCCGCGGGAAUAUCAGUAUGGUGACUCCUUACCCUGGGGAAGUGUACUUAGGCCACGGCUAGGUGAAGCCCAGGGAUAUUUCUGUUCGCCCAUGCAUCCGAGAAAGGAGUGUUAGACCUGACCCUGUUGUUUCUCCCAGCAGUGAGAACGUGGCCAUGGACAAGAAUUCCAAGUAGUGGCACUUCUGUAGACGACGCGGCCCUUUUGGGGUUACUACAGCCCAGGAAACUCACAUGCGACACGGCGCCAGCUGAAGUCCAUCUAGACCCCCGCAGACCCAAGGUCACAAGUUGAGAACCCCCUGCCGUGGACAUUCUUCUGCACCUAGUGGUGAAGCAGGUGGAGCUGCACCUUGCUCCGCCCAUUUGGAGACUGGUUCUGCACAUAUGAGUGUGCCCUGCAGCGAUCCUGCAAUCCUUCGUGACUAACAAGGACUUUCUGUGAAAACAGAUUUAUCUUUUCUUCUCUACCUUUAAGGUUUCUUGCUGUUGAGAAUAGUUAAGGGACGAGGAAUUCUUAUUGCCCCCAUUUUACAGGCAAAGAAACUAAUGCUGACCCCAACCUUACCGACCACUUGGAGGUCCCUAAAAACACAUGACCUUUGUGUUUCUCGGCUGUUAGUGGAAUCCUUUCUGUCUGCUCAUGAACUCAUCUUCAAACGCAUUCCAGGCCUUCAGAACUCUUCCGUGAGCGCAAGUCACUGGGCUUUACACUGGCACCAGUAUGAGGUUACUGGAUGGAUGCAUGCAUGGAUGGAUAGAUGACGAAUAGAUAAAAUCAUCAUGUUAAAAAUCCCAGUACAGCGUGAUGGCUCACGCCUGUAAUCCCAGCACUUUGGGAAGCGAAGGCAGGCGGAUCGCUUGAGACCGUAAGCUCAAGACCAGCCUGGCCAACAUGGUGAAACCCCGUCUCCACUAAAAAUAUUUAAUAUUAAUACGAA
This 969-nucleotide long non-coding RNA is filed under the name Homo sapiens (human). RNAcentral describes it as "HSALNT0035417". The record is from RNAcentral. Lineage: Eukaryota; Metazoa; Chordata; Mammalia; Primates; Hominidae.